AUUAAACGCUGGCGGCAUGCCUUACACAUGCAAGUCGAACGGCAGCACGGGGCAACCUGGUGGCGAGUGGCGAACGGGUGAGUAAAGCAUCGGAACGUGCCCUGGAGUGGGGGAUAACGUAGCGAAAGUUACGCUAAUACCGCAUAUUCUGUGAGCAGGAAAGCAGGGGAUCGCAAGACCUUGCGCUCUGGGAGCGGCCGAUGUCGGAUUAGCUAGUUGGUGGGGUAAAGGCCUACCAAGGCGACGAUCCGUAGCGGGUCUGAGAGGAUGAUCCGCCACACUGGGACUGAGACACGGCCCAGACUCCUACGGGAGGCAGCAGUGGGGAAUUUUGGACAAUGGGCGAAAGCCUGAUCCAGCCAUGCCGCGUGAGUGAAGAAGGCCUUCGGGUUGUAAAGCUCUUUCGGUGGGGAAGAAAUUGCAUGGGCUAAUACCCUGUGUAGAUGACGGUACCUGGAGAAGAAGCACCGGCUAACUACGUG
RNAcentral lists this ribosomal RNA (482 nucleotides) under uncultured bacterium. RNAcentral's name for it is "bacterial SSU rRNA". It matches the Rfam family "Bacterial small subunit ribosomal RNA", at positions 29 to 507 of the family's 1533-position model. The record is from RNAcentral.